RNAcentral lists this transfer RNA (77 nucleotides) under Lentisphaerae bacterium GWF2_45_14. RNAcentral describes it as "tRNA-Ala". It matches the Rfam family "tRNA". Rfam says of the family: Transfer RNA (tRNA) molecules are approximately 80 nucleotides in length. Their secondary structure includes four short double-helical elements and three loops (D, anti-codon, and T loops). Further hydrogen bonds mediate the characteristic L-shaped molecular structure. tRNAs have two regions of fundamental functional importance: the anti-codon, which is responsible for specific mRNA codon recognition, and the 3' end, to which the tRNAs corresponding amino acid is attached (by aminoacyl-tRNA synthetases). tRNAs cope with the degeneracy of the genetic code in two manners: having more than one tRNA (with a specific anti-codon) for a particular amino acid; and 'wobble' base-pairing, i.e. permitting non-standard base-pairing at the 3rd anti-codon position. The record is from RNAcentral. Lineage: Bacteria; Pseudomonadati; Lentisphaerota.
GGGGCAUUAGCUCAGUUGGCUAGAGCGCGACACUGGCAGUGUCGAGGUCAAGGGUUCAACUCCCUUAUGCUCCACCA